UCGGACGUGGUGUAGGGAACACCGCCUUUAACUGUAUAUGUGCUACUUCCAUUUGAACAGUGCCGGGGCAGUCUGGGGUUCGACUCCCCGCGUCCGAA
This is a non-coding RNA of Mycena epipterygia, 98 nucleotides long. Lineage: Eukaryota; Fungi; Basidiomycota; Agaricomycetes; Agaricales; Mycenaceae. The record is from the annotation of a GenBank genome assembly.